AGGCUGCACGUGAUGACUGCAUAGUUCAGCAGAUGACUCGUGAUGAUCACAUUGCUACUGUCUUUCGCUCCUGUCUGAUGCAGCCU
Molecule: small nucleolar RNA, 86 nt
Filed under: Merops nubicus (carmine bee-eater)
Lineage: Eukaryota; Metazoa; Chordata; Aves; Coraciiformes; Meropidae
Description: Small nucleolar RNA snR60/Z15/Z230/Z193/J17
Rfam family: Small nucleolar RNA snR60/Z15/Z230/Z193/J17
About the family: The members of this family belong to the C/D class of snoRNAs which contain the C (UGAUGA) and D (CUGA) box motifs. Most of the members of the box C/D family function in directing site-specific 2'-O-methylation of substrate RNAs.
Source: Rfam by way of RNAcentral